UACGAAGGGGGCUAGCGUUGCUCGGAAUGACUGGGCGUAAAGGGCGCGUAGGCGGUUUGUACAGUCAGAUGUGAAAUUCCUGGGCUUAACCUGGGGGCUGCAUUUGAUACGUGCAGACUUGAGUGAGGAAGAGGGUUGUGGAAUUCCCAGUGUAGAGGUGAAAUUCGUAGAUAUUGGGAAGAACACCGAUGGCGAAGGCGGCCCCCUGGGCCGAACCUGACGCUGAGGCGCGAAGGCUAGGGGAGCGAACGGG
Molecule: ribosomal RNA, 253 nt
Filed under: uncultured bacterium
Lineage: Bacteria
Description: partial 16S ribosomal RNA
Rfam family: Bacterial small subunit ribosomal RNA
Source: RNAcentral